GCGUCCGAUUAGCUAGUUGGUGGGGUAACUGCCUACCAAGGCGACGAUCGGUAGCUGGUCUGAGAGGAUGAUCAGCCACAUUGGGACUGAGACACGGCCCAAACUCCUACGGGAGGCAGCAGUGGGGAAUAUUGGACAAUGGGCGAAAGCCUGAUCCAGCAAUGCCGCGUGCGGGAAGAAGGCCUUCGGGUUGUAAACCGCUUUUGGCAGGAACGAAACAGUACGAGCUAAUACUUCGUACGAAUGACGGUACCUGCAGAAUAAGCACCGGCUAACUACGUGCCAGCAGCCGCGGUAAUACGUAGGGUGCAAGCGUUGUCCGGAAUCAUUGGGCGUAAAGAGCGUGUAGGCGGCUCGAUCAGUCUGCUGUAAAAGUCCAGGGCUCAACCCUGGGAUGCCGGUGGAUACUGUCGGGCUAGAGUCCGGAAGAGGCGAGUGGAAUUCCUGGUGUAGCGGUGAAAUGCGCAGAUAUCANGAGGAACACCAAUGGCGAAGCAUCUCGCUGGGACGGUACUGACGCUGAGACGCGAAAGCGUGGGGAGCAAACAGGAUUAGAUACCCUGGGUAGUCCACGCCGUAAACGAUGGGCACUAGGUGUGGGAGGUGUCGACUCCUUCCGUGCCGCACCUAACGCAUUAAGUGCCCCGCCUGGGGAGUACGGCCGCAAGGCUAAA
This 674-nucleotide ribosomal RNA is filed under the name uncultured soil bacterium. RNAcentral's name for it is "bacterial SSU rRNA". It matches the Rfam family "Bacterial small subunit ribosomal RNA", at positions 233 to 898 of the family's 1533-position model. The record is from RNAcentral.